RNAcentral lists this ribosomal RNA (330 nucleotides) under uncultured bacterium. RNAcentral's name for it is "bacterial SSU rRNA". It matches the Rfam family "Bacterial small subunit ribosomal RNA", at positions 568 to 898 of the family's 1533-position model. The record is from RNAcentral.
CGCGUAGGCGGGCCAUCAAGUCAGGGGUGAAAUCUUUCGGCUCAACCGGAAAAGUGCCUUUGAUACUGGUGGUCUCGAGGGAGGUAGGGGCAUGCGGAACUUCCGGUGGAGCGGUGAAAUGCGUAGAUAUCGGAAGGAACGCCGGUGGCGAAAGCGGCGUGCUGGACCUCUUCUGACGCUGAGGCGCGAAAGCUAGGGGAGCAAACGGGAUUAGAUACCCCGGUAGUCCUAGCCCUAAACGAUGAGCACUAGAUUGUAGAUCGACAUGGGUUUACAGUCGAAGCAAAAGUGUUAAGUGCUCCGCCUGGGGAGUAUGGUCGCAAGGCUGAA